This 484-nucleotide ribosomal RNA is filed under the name uncultured bacterium. Its description in RNAcentral is "partial 16S ribosomal RNA". It matches the Rfam family "Bacterial small subunit ribosomal RNA", at positions 30 to 507 of the family's 1533-position model. The record is from RNAcentral.
AUUGAACGCUGGCGGCAGGCCUAACACAUGCAAGUCGAGCGGAUGAAGGGAGCUUGCUCCUGGAUUCAGCGGCGGACGGGUGAGUAAUGCCUAGGAAUCUGCCUGGUAGCGGGGGAUAACGUCCGGAAACGGGCGCUAAUACCGCAUACGUCCUGAGGGAGAAAGUGGGGGAUCUUCGGACCUCACGCUAUCAGAUGAGCCUAGGUCGGUUUAGCUAGUUGGUGGGGUAAAGGCCUACCAAGGCGACGAUCCGUAACUGGUCUGAGAGGAUGAUCAGUCACCCUGGAACUGAGACACGGUCCAGACUCCUACGGGAGGCAGCAGUGGGGAAUAUUGGACAAUGGGCGAAAGCCUGAUCCAGCCAUGCCGCGUGUGUGAAGAAGGUCUUCGGAUUGUAAAGCACUUUAAGUUGGGAGGAAGGGCAGUAAGUUAAUACCUUGCUGUUUUGACGUUACCAACAGAAUAAGCACCGGCUAACUUCGUG